CAGGCGGUAGCUUAUGUAAAAGCUUUUUAGUUACAUUAAUAGGAAAAUUUAUAAUGAUUUUGUCUGA
Molecule: transfer RNA, 67 nt
Filed under: Deltocephalinae sp. EMHAU-2015-Zz052318
Lineage: Eukaryota; Metazoa; Arthropoda; Insecta; Hemiptera; Cicadellidae
Description: tRNA-Val
Source: RNAcentral